CCAGAUUUGCUGGAUUUCCUUUGCUGUUACUGCACAUAGUUUAAACGAGACUGCCAGCACUGAGUAUCUGUCACCAUUUUUCUUUUUGUUAGUUUGCCAUCAGCCUUUUCUUUGACCUCUUCUUUCAGUCUGUGUGUACUUGCUGUCUCUUGGCCCAGACUUCUCGCUUCUUUUCUGCUGGGCCUCUGAGGGGUCAUGGGGCCGUGAUGCUGUGGCCUUGGUCUGCAGGUGUCUGACUUCCGGCAGCAGCUGCUGGCCUGUGCAGGGGUGGAAGCUGAGCGCGUGGUGGAGUUUUCUUGUGGUCACGUGAUCCCUCCAGACAACAUCCUGCCCCUUGUCAUCUGCAGUGGGAUCUCCAACCAGCCGCUGGAAUUCACCUUCCAGAAAAGAGAGCUGCCUCAGAUGGUCAGUCCCAGCCAGCUCGCCGCACCACAGCCUGGGCUCAGGCAGCAAAGGGUUUUCUGGGGCAGUGGUGCUCUGGCCCACCCUGAGUGUUUUCAGGUGUUGGGGAAAUGGCACGGGGACACCCGCUAUAGAGCCGCACAGAAUGAGCGGCGUCCAUCUAGAUGUUUAUGGAGGAAGGUCUGAGCUUCCCUGCCCCUCGCUCCUCGCCCCUUACCCCUUACCCCUUAGGCUGCGAAAUACAUAUUCUUAAAACCUCAAGGCAUCCCCUGAGGAUGCCUCACGCAGAGGAAAGCUGCUGGUUCCCUUUGGCGCUCUUGCCCUUUGGUUAUAUCUGUCCCUGCCGGGGGCAGGGAUGCAGGGCUUGGGGGG
Molecule: small RNA, 774 nt
Filed under: Pongo abelii (Sumatran orangutan)
Lineage: Eukaryota; Metazoa; Chordata; Mammalia; Primates; Hominidae
Description: retained intron
Source: RNAcentral